UUUAAAGCCAUAAGGAAACUAGCUUAAUUUCGAAAUCAAUUUCAGAGAGCCGAUGGUUGGUGUGAAUCGGUAUUGUGACUUUUAAGCGACUCAUUUCUUUGCAGCUGCUCAGAAAAACCGAAGGUUGUGUAAGUGCAGACGGAAAACUCCGUUAUCAGUUAAAGGCUUGUUGGAGCUUGAUUAAGGUGGUCUAUUUGAGUAUAGACAAUCAGGGUGGUACCGCGAGGAGUAACCUCGUCCCUGUA
RNAcentral lists this non-coding RNA (245 nucleotides) under Clostridiales bacterium. RNAcentral describes it as "T-box sequence". It matches the Rfam family "T-box leader". From Rfam's summary of the family: Uncharged tRNA acts as the effector for transcription antitermination of genes in the T-box leader family. T-boxes are found upstream of many aminoacyl-tRNA synthetase genes and some amino acid biosynthetic genes usually in Gram-positive bacteria. Lineage: Bacteria; Bacillati; Bacillota; Clostridia; Eubacteriales. The record is from RNAcentral.